Molecule: ribosomal RNA, 439 nt
Filed under: uncultured bacterium
Lineage: Bacteria
Description: partial 16S ribosomal RNA
Rfam family: Bacterial small subunit ribosomal RNA
Source: RNAcentral
CUACGGGUGGCAGCAGUGGGGAAUAUUGCACAAUGGAGGAAACUCUGAUGCAGCAACGCCGCGUGGAGGAUGACGCAUUUCGGUGUGUAAACUCCUUUUAUAUGUCAAGAAAAUGACGGUAGCAUAUGAAUAAGCACCGGCUAACUCCGUGCCAGCAGCCGCGGUAAUACGGAGGGUGCAAGCGUUACUCGGAAUCACUGGGCGUAAAGGACGCGUAGGCGGGUUGGAAAGUCAGGUGUGAAAUCCUACAGCUUAACUGUAGAACUGCACUUGAAACUUCUAAUCUAGAGUAUGGGAGGGGGAGAGGGAAUUAGCGGUGUAGGGGUAAAAUCCGUAGAUAUCACUAGGAAUACCUAAAGCGAAGGCGAUCUCCUGGAACAUUACUGACGCUAAGGCGUGAAAGCGUGGGGAGCAAACAGGAUUAGAUACCCCGGUAGUC